This is a long non-coding RNA of Drosophila guanche, 445 nucleotides long. RefSeq lists it as uncharacterized. NCBI's taxonomy places the organism in Eukaryota, Metazoa, Arthropoda, Insecta, Diptera, Drosophilidae. The transcript is spliced from 2 exons. The record is from RefSeq and is a predicted model, not a curated record.
CUCUUAAUGGCGAGCAGUAUAUACCGCUAUCAGCGUUGGCCAUGUAUUGGACACACUACACAUUUAAAGGUCGACUGAGAAAACUCUGGUUCAAGGUUGAAAUGGAAGAUCUGGCUGAGAAAUGGGUGAAAUAUAUCAAUACAAAUGACACCUACUGGACACACCUUGAAUUAAAGCUUCACUGUUGUGGCCUUGAUGGACCACGUUGGUAUAUGCAUUACCUGCUCAGGCUGCCCCAAUCAUGCUAUAAUCCGCGUCUAGUAACCAAAGGAUGUCAAAGUGUUCUACAUGACACAUUCGAUUCGAUGCAUACCCUUGCUUAUAUGUUGUACGUUAGCGCUAUCCUGCUGGAGUAUAUUAUGCUGGUAUUUUAUGUGGCUUUUCUGUUUAAAAAGAGAUUUUCAAAUGCGCUUAAGAACAAAAAUAUUAAAUUUAAAUUUAAAAU